RNAcentral lists this ribosomal RNA (239 nucleotides) under uncultured bacterium. RNAcentral's name for it is "partial 16S ribosomal RNA". It matches the Rfam family "Bacterial small subunit ribosomal RNA", at positions 92 to 334 of the family's 1533-position model. The record is from RNAcentral.
CGAGUGGCGGACGGGUGAGUAAUGUCUGGGAAACUGCCCGAUGGAGGGGGAUAACUACUGGAAACGGUAGCUAAUACCGCAUAACGUCGCAAGACCAAAGAGGGGGACCUUCGGGCCUCUUGCCAUCGGAUGUGCCCAGAUGGGAUUAGCUAGUAGGUGGGGUAACGGCUCACCUAGGCGACGAUCCCUAGCUGGUCUGAGAGGAUGACCAGCCACACUGGAACUGAGACACGGUCCGG